Molecule: small nuclear RNA, 202 nt
Organism: Bombyx mandarina (wild silkworm)
Lineage: Eukaryota; Metazoa; Arthropoda; Insecta; Lepidoptera; Bombycidae
Source: RefSeq, a predicted model, not a curated record
GUCACGGACUCGGUCUUUUGGCUAAGAUAAAGUGUACUAUCUGUUCUUUUCAGCAUAAAAUCUGGUCACGGACUAUUGACUACAUCCGUGACCACGAAAACUGUAAAUUAGUUUUUGUUAAUAAAAUUAAGAAUACUGUUUCAUUAAAAUAGAUAUUUAUUUUACCUUGAGUCCCGAAGCCAAGCGGCACUCGGGUGGUCUU